UCCGGUUUGUCACCGGCAGUCUCCCAUGAGUCCCCAACUUAAUGCUGGCAACAUGGAACGGGGGUUGCGCUCGUUGCGGGACUUAACCCAACAUCUCACGACACGAGCUGACGACAGCCAUGCAGCACCUGUGUUCCCGUUCCCUUUCGGGCACACCCGGGUUUCCCCAGGCUUCGGGACAUGUCAAAGGUAGGUAAGGUUUUUCGCGUUGCAUCGAAUUAAUCCACAUAAUCCACCGCUUGUGCGGGUCCCCGUCAAUUCCUUUGAGUUUUAACCUUGCGGCCGUACUCCCCAGGCGGUCGACUUCACGCGUUAGCUUGUUACUGAGAGUGUCAAACCCCCAAAACCUAGUGUUCAUCGUUUACGGCAUGGACUAC
This 377-nucleotide unclassified non-coding RNA is filed under the name uncultured Gammaproteobacteria bacterium. RNAcentral's name for it is "contains 16S-23S intergenic spacer region". Lineage: Bacteria; Pseudomonadati; Pseudomonadota; Gammaproteobacteria. The record is from RNAcentral.